UACAGAGGGGGCAAGCGUUGUUCGGAAUUACUGGGCGUAAAGGGCGCGUAGGCGGCCUGCUAAGUCGAACGUGAAAUCCCCGGGCUUAACCUGGGAACUGCAUUUGUGACUGCAUGGCUGGAGUGCGGCAGAGGGGGAUGGAAUUCCGCGUGUAGCAGUGAAAUGCGUAGAUAUGCGGAGGAACACCGAUGGCGAAGGCAAUCCCCUGGGCCUGCACUGACGCUCAUGCACGAAAGCGUGGGGAGCAAACAGG
This 253-nucleotide ribosomal RNA is filed under the name uncultured bacterium. RNAcentral's name for it is "partial 16S ribosomal RNA". It matches the Rfam family "Bacterial small subunit ribosomal RNA", at positions 524 to 776 of the family's 1533-position model. The record is from RNAcentral.